AUUGAACGCUGGCGGCAGGCCUAACACAUGCAAGUCGAACGGUAACAGGAAGAAGCUUGCUUCUUUGCUGACGAGUGGCGGACGGGUGAGUAAUGUCUGGGAAACUGCCUGAUGGAGGGGGAUAACUACUGGAAACGGUAGCUAAUACCGCAUAACGUCGCAAGACCAAAGAGGGGGACCUUCGGGCCUCUUGCGAUCGGAUGUGCCCAGAUGGGAUUAGCUAGUAGGUGGGGUAACGGCUCACCUAGGCGACGAUCCCUAGCUGGUCUGAGAGGAUGACCAGCCACACUGGAACUGAGACACGGUCCAGACUCCUACGGGAGGCAGCAGUGGGGAAUAUUGCACAAUGGGCGCAAGCCUGAUGCAGCCAUGCCGCGUGUAUGAAGAAGGCCUUCGGGUUGUAAAGUACUUUCAGCGGGGAGGAAGGGAGUAAAGUUAAUACCUUUGCUCAUUGACGUUACCCGCAGAAGAAGCACCGGCUAACUCCGUG
This 490-nucleotide ribosomal RNA is filed under the name uncultured bacterium. Its description in RNAcentral is "partial 16S ribosomal RNA". It matches the Rfam family "Bacterial small subunit ribosomal RNA", at positions 30 to 507 of the family's 1533-position model. The record is from RNAcentral.